RNAcentral lists this ribosomal RNA (409 nucleotides) under uncultured bacterium. RNAcentral's name for it is "bacterial SSU rRNA". It matches the Rfam family "Bacterial small subunit ribosomal RNA", at positions 360 to 773 of the family's 1533-position model. The record is from RNAcentral.
AAUUUUGCGCAAUGGGGGAAACCCUGACGCAGCAACGCCGCGUGGACGAUGAAGCUUCUUGGAGUGUAAAGUCCUUUCGGCAGGGAAGAAUCCCCGCAAGGGGUUGACGGUACCUGAAGAAGAAGCCCCGGCUAACUCCGUGCCAGCAGCCGCGGUAAUACGUAGGGGGCGAGCGUUGUCCGGAUUUAUUGGGCGUAAAGAGCUCGUAGGCGGUUCGGCAAGGCGGAUGUGAAAUCUCCACGCUCAACGUGGAGGGGCCAUCCGAUACUGCCGUGACUCGAGUCCGGUAGGGGAGUGUGGAAUUCCCGGUGUAGCGGUGAAAUGCGCAGAGAUCGGGAGGAACACCCGUAGCGAAGGCGGCACUCUGGGCCGGUACUGACGCUGAGGAGCGAAAGCGUGGGGAGCGAAC